This 465-nucleotide ribosomal RNA is filed under the name uncultured bacterium. RNAcentral's name for it is "partial 16S ribosomal RNA". It matches the Rfam family "Bacterial small subunit ribosomal RNA", at positions 28 to 507 of the family's 1533-position model. The record is from RNAcentral.
GACGAACGCUGGCGGCGUGCUUAACACAUGCAAGUCGUACGGUAAGGCCCUUUCGGGGGUACACGAGUGGCGAACGGGUGAGUAACACGUGAGUAACCUGCCCACAACUUUGGGAUAACGCUAGGAAACUGGUGCUAAUACUGGAUAUGUGCUCCUGCUGCAUGGUGGGGGUUGGAAAGCUCCGGCGGUUGUGGAUGGACUCGCGGCCUAUCAGCUUGUUGGUGGGGUAGUGGCCUACCAAGGCGGCGACGGGUAGCCGGCCUGAGAGGGUGACCGGCCACAUUGGGACUGAGAUACGGCCCAGACUCCUACGGGAGGCAGCAGUGGGGCAUAUUGCACAAUGGGCGCAAGCCUGAUGCAGCAACGCCGCGUGCGGGAUGACGGCCUUCGGGUUGUAAACCGCUUUCAGCAGGGACGAAGCUUUUUGUGACGGUACCUGCAGAAGAAGCACCGGCUAACUACGUG